GUGGGGAAUAUUGGACAAUGGGCGAAAGCCUGAUCCAGCCAUGCCGCGUGUGUGAAGAAGGUCUUCGGAUUGUAAAGCACUUUAAGUUGGGAGGAAGGGCAGUAAGUUAAUACCUUGCUGUUUUGACGUUACCGACAGAAUAAGCACCGGCUAACUUCGUGCCAGCAGCCGCGGUAAUACGAAGGGUGCAAGCGUUAAUCGGAAUUACUGGGCGUAAAGCGCGCGUAGGUGGUUUUGUAAGUUGGAGGUGAAAUCCCCGGGCUCAACCUGGGAACUGCCACCAAAACUGCAUGACUAGAGUACGGUAGAGGGUAGUGGAAUUUCCUGUGUAGCGGUGAAAUGCGUAGAUAUAGGAAGGAACACCAGUGGCGAAGGCGACUACCUGGACUGAUACUGACACUGAGGUGCGAAAGCGUGGGGAGCAAACAGGAUUAGAAACCCCUGUAGUCC
This 450-nucleotide ribosomal RNA is filed under the name uncultured bacterium. RNAcentral's name for it is "partial 16S ribosomal RNA". It matches the Rfam family "Bacterial small subunit ribosomal RNA", at positions 354 to 796 of the family's 1533-position model. The record is from RNAcentral.